This 256-nucleotide ribosomal RNA is filed under the name uncultured bacterium. RNAcentral describes it as "partial 16S ribosomal RNA". It matches the Rfam family "Bacterial small subunit ribosomal RNA", at positions 521 to 776 of the family's 1533-position model. The record is from RNAcentral.
UAAUACGUAGGACGCAAGCGUUAUCCGGAAUUACUGGGCGUAAAGAGCGUGUAGGCGGUUGUCCAAGUCACUUGUGAAAGCUCUCGGCUAAACUGGGAGAGGUCAGGUGAGACUGGACGGCUAGAGGGUUGUAGAGGGGUGUGGAAUUCCGGGUGUAGUGGUGAAAUGCGUAGAGAUCCGGAGGAACACCAGAGGCGAAGGCGGCACCCUGGACAACACCUGACGCUGAGACGCGAAAGCGCGGGGAGCAAACGGG